Molecule: ribosomal RNA, 267 nt
Filed under: uncultured Anoxybacillus sp.
Lineage: Bacteria; Bacillati; Bacillota; Bacilli; Caryophanales; Anoxybacillaceae
Description: partial 16S ribosomal RNA
Rfam family: Bacterial small subunit ribosomal RNA
Source: RNAcentral
UUGCCAGCAUUCAGUUGGCACUCUAAGGUGACUGCCGGCUAAAAGUCGGAGGAAGGUGGGGAUGACGUCAAAUCAUCAUGCCCCUUAUGACCUGGGCUACACACGUGCUACAAUGGGCGGUACAAAGGGUCGCGAACCCGCGAGGGGGAGCCAAUCCCAAAAAGCCGCUCUCAGUUCGGAUUGCAGGCUGCAACUCGCCUGCAUGAAGCCGGAAUCGCUAGUAAUCGCGGAUCAGCAUGCCCGCGGUCGAAUACGUUCCCGGGCCUU